RNAcentral lists this non-coding RNA (242 nucleotides) under Pediculus humanus corporis (human body louse). Lineage: Eukaryota; Metazoa; Arthropoda; Insecta; Psocodea; Pediculidae. The record is from RNAcentral.
GUCGGGAGUUAGUGGCGUGCUCCUGUAAUCCAGCUCUUUGGAGGCCGGGUGCAGCAGAUGACUCUGAUCGUGUGAUUCGGAUCCUACUUGUUGCGCAUUUUUAAAAAACGGUCGGCGGGAGCACUUCGGGGUCCCGACCGAGUGUUUUCGUCGGCCAACAGGGUAAUUAGGGCCUGUCCCGAUGCGCGGCGGUUGAGAGUCGAUUUCCCCGAUUGCAGACGAAGAGUCAGACCUGUACCUAA